This 76-nucleotide transfer RNA is filed under the name Loxodonta africana (African savanna elephant). It matches the Rfam family "tRNA". From Rfam's summary of the family: Transfer RNA (tRNA) molecules are approximately 80 nucleotides in length. Their secondary structure includes four short double-helical elements and three loops (D, anti-codon, and T loops). The record is from Rfam by way of RNAcentral. Lineage: Eukaryota; Metazoa; Chordata; Mammalia; Proboscidea; Elephantidae.
ACAUUGGUGGUUCAGUCGUAGAAUUCUUUCCUUCUAAUAUAUGCUGGAGACCUGGGUUCGAUUCCUAGCUAAUGCA